This 254-nucleotide ribosomal RNA is filed under the name uncultured bacterium. Its description in RNAcentral is "partial 16S ribosomal RNA". It matches the Rfam family "Bacterial small subunit ribosomal RNA", at positions 524 to 776 of the family's 1533-position model. The record is from RNAcentral.
CACGUAGGGUGCGAGCGUUGUCCGGAAUUAUUGGGCGUAAAGAGCUCGUAGGCGGUGUGUCGCGUCGGCCGUGAAAACCUGCAGCUUAACUGUGGGCUUGCGGUCGAUACGGGCAUCACUGGAGUUCGGCAGGGGAGACUGGAAUUCCUGGUGUAGCGGUGAAAUGCGCAGAUAUCAGGAGGAGCCCCGGUGGCGAAGGCGGGUCUCUGGGCCGAUACUGACGCUGAGGAGCGAAAGCGUGGGGAGCGAACAGG